RNAcentral lists this transfer RNA (75 nucleotides) under Opitutia bacterium. RNAcentral describes it as "tRNA-Arg". It matches the Rfam family "tRNA". Rfam says of the family: Transfer RNA (tRNA) molecules are approximately 80 nucleotides in length. Their secondary structure includes four short double-helical elements and three loops (D, anti-codon, and T loops). Lineage: Bacteria; Pseudomonadati; Verrucomicrobiota; Opitutia. RNAcentral also lists the same sequence under 3 other names. The record is from RNAcentral.
GCCCCCAUAGUUUAACGGAUAAAACACUGGUUUCCUAAACCGUAGAUCGAGGUUCGAUUCCUCGUGGGGGCGCCA